GCUAUCUCAGGCCUUAAGGAACUGCAUGGAAAGAACACUCAGGGGACUUUCAUAUGUUAGAUAUGGAGAUGUAUUUACAAAAUACCGUCCAUUUUCACAGAAUGAAGAGUUGUUCAGGAAGGGGCAACCAGUGGUUGAGUUCGUAUUUGCUGCUACCGAAGAGGCUAUCUUUGUCCACGUUAUUAUAUCUGCAAAGCAUAUACGAGCACUUUCAAGUGGUGACAUUGAUAAAAUAUCAGAGAAUACAUCUAAUGUCUCUGUCGAGGGGCUUCCAGUUAUUGUCUCACCUCAUGGAAUGCGUGGGAGGCUAACUGGAUGUUGCCCAGCUGAUCUUGUGAAACAAGUGUAUCUCGUUCUGGCAAGUUUAGCGCUUCAAAUGGUAUUGUUGGGCUACCAUGCAAUGUUUCUCAAUCUAGUUAUCAGCUUAAGGGACAGAAUUGCUAUGUUGAAGUUAACCUUGGUUCCACUGCACCGGGAAACAACAAUAUACAAGAAAGUUUGAACAUACAAAAUAAUUCAUCAAGGCCUACCAUGACAGAAGCCUCUGCAGUGGCCAAUUUUGUUCAGAGUAAAAUACCAGAUAACUGUGGAAGAGUGCUUAUUUACCCGCCCGAGGCCGUUCUUGUCCCAGUGGUGCAAACAGCGUGUGCUAGAUCAUCUCUGAAAAGAUUUUGGCUGCAGAACUGGAUUGGGCCCUCAUUGUCCUUUACAUCCUCCUUUAUGCAUUGUUUUGAUUUUCAUUGCGAUGCCAAAGUCAAUUCGGUGGAUGGUUCUUGGCUUGAUGCAAAUGUCAUACGCUCUAAUCGGCGUUAUAACAGUAGCAGUAACAGCAAUAGUAGUAGUGUUAGCAGCAUAAGUACCUCUUCUAGUGAUAGUGAUUACAAGACCUCAGGAACUGGUGAUCUUGAAGCAGAUGCUGAUUCUUUGAUGUGUAGGCAGUCUGGAUUAUCUUCUU
This 955-nucleotide unclassified non-coding RNA is filed under the name Hevea brasiliensis (rubber tree). Lineage: Eukaryota; Viridiplantae; Streptophyta; Magnoliopsida; Malpighiales; Euphorbiaceae. The record is from RNAcentral.